UGGGGAAUUUUGGACAAUGGGGGCAACCCUGAUCCAGCAAUGCCGCGUGUGUGAAGAAGGCCUUCGGGUUGUAAAGCACUUUUGUCCGGAAAGAAAACUUCGUCCCUAAUAUGGAUGGAGGAUGACGGUACCGGAAGAAUAAGCACCGGCUAACUACGUGCCAGCAGCCGCGGUAAUACGUAGGGUGCGAGCGUUAAUCGGAACUACUGGGCGUAAAGCGUGCGUAGGCGGUCUGUUAAGACCGAUGUGAAAUCCCCGGGCUUAACCUGGGAACUGCAUUGGUGACUGGCAGGCUAGAGUGUGGCAGAGGGAGGUAGAAUUCCACGUGUAGCAGUGAAAUGCGUAGAGAUGUGGAGGAAUACCGAUGGCGAAGGCAGCCUCCUGGGCCAACACUGACGCUCAUGCACGAAAGCGUGGGGAGCAAACAGGAUUAGAUACCCUGGUAGUCCACGCCCUAAACGAUGUCAACUAGUUGUUGGGGAUUCAUUUCCUUAGUAACGUAGCUAACGCGUGAAGUUGACCGCCUGGGGAGUACGGUCGCAAGAUUAA
RNAcentral lists this ribosomal RNA (549 nucleotides) under uncultured Burkholderia sp. RNAcentral describes it as "bacterial SSU rRNA". It matches the Rfam family "Bacterial small subunit ribosomal RNA", at positions 355 to 897 of the family's 1533-position model. Lineage: Bacteria; Pseudomonadati; Pseudomonadota; Betaproteobacteria; Burkholderiales; Burkholderiaceae. The record is from RNAcentral.